AGUGAACGCUGGCGGUAGGCCUAACACAUGCAAGUCGAACGGCAGCACAGUAAGAGCUUGCUCUUACGGGUGGCGAGUGGCGGACGGGUGAGGAAUACAUCGGAAUCUACUUUUUCGUGGGGGAUAACGUAGGGAAACUUACGCUAAUACCGCAUACGACCUACGGGUGAAAGCAGGGGAUCUUCGGACCUUGCGCGAUUGAAUGAGCCGAUGUCGGAUUAGCUAGUUGGCGGGGUAAAGGCCCACCAAGGCGACGAUCCGUAGCUGGUCUGAGAGGAUGAUCAGCCACACUGGAACUGAGACACGGUCCAGACUCCUACGGGAGGCAGCAGUGGGAAAUAUUGGACAAUGGGCGCAAGCCUGAUCCAGCCAUACCGCGUGGGUGAAGAAGGCAUUCGGGUUGUAAAGCCCUUUUGUUGGGAAAGAAAAGCAGCAGGUUAAUACCCCGCUGUUCCGACGGUACCCAAAGAAUAAGCACCGGCUAACUUCGUG
This 492-nucleotide ribosomal RNA is filed under the name uncultured bacterium. RNAcentral describes it as "partial 16S ribosomal RNA". It matches the Rfam family "Bacterial small subunit ribosomal RNA", at positions 29 to 507 of the family's 1533-position model. The record is from RNAcentral.